GAUGAACGCUGGCGGCGUGCCUAAUACAUGCAAGUCGAGCGAAUGGAUUAAGAGCUUGCUCUUAUGAAGUUAGCGGCGGACGGGUGAGUAACACGUGGGUAACCUGCCCAUAAGACUGGGAUAACUCCGGGAAACCGGGGCUAAUACCGGAUAACAUUUUGAACCGCAUGGUUCGAAAUUGAAAGGCGGCUUCGGCUGUCACUUAUGGAUGGACCCGCGUCGCAUUAGGUAGUGGGUGAGGUAACGGCUCACCAAGGCAACGAUGCGUAGCCGAACUGAGAGGGUGAUCGGCCAAACUGGGACUGAGACACGGCCCAGACUCCUACGGGAGGCAGCAGUAGGGAAUCUUCCGCAAUGGACGAAAGUCUGACAGAGCAACGCCGCGUGAGUGAUGAAGGCUUUCGGGUCGUAAAACUCUGUUGUUAGGGAAGAACAAGUGCUAGUUGAAUAAGCUGGCACCUUGACGGUACCUAACCAGAAAGCCACGGCUAACUACGUGCCAGCCGCCGCAGUAA
This 515-nucleotide ribosomal RNA is filed under the name uncultured bacterium. Its description in RNAcentral is "partial 16S ribosomal RNA". It matches the Rfam family "Bacterial small subunit ribosomal RNA", at positions 28 to 523 of the family's 1533-position model. The record is from RNAcentral.